UCUCCGGCUACCGGUGACUCUUACACUCCCAAUUUUCUAUUGGCUACAGCCUGAAUGACAACGGGAGACACAAACCAUCGUUCGCCCUCAAAUCCUAGAGGCCGGUGGCCAAUAUGGAGUGGUUGUGUUAUUCAUUCUACAUUUUUCGCAGAGAAGACUUCAAGAAAAGCAGAUGAAGUUGCAGCGUGGGAAUUUUGAAAUAAGAUUGUCUGCUCUGGGACUGAUCCAUUAUCAAGGAUAAAAUACACAGGUUAUUUUUUUAAAAACAUGGAAAGACCUACAUGUGAAGAACAAAACAAGAAGAACCAAGAGAAUAUUAUAUAAUACAACAGAAAUUUGUUUUAAGAAUAAUUGUGAAUGUCCAAUUGCAGAGAAAAAAACCUGAUAAAUAGAAACAUACAAGAUAAAAUUUUGUAUAUAUGUAUCUAUGGGUUGUUUUUUUUUGUUGUUGUUGUUCAAAUGUGUUCUCUAGUGUAGGAGGGAAAGAAUGUGGGGAUAUACCUGGAAACUUUAAUGUAACAUACAAAUAAAUAAAUUAAAAAUUAAAAUUCUUAAAAGGAUAAA
Monodelphis domestica (gray short-tailed opossum) is the source of this 564-nucleotide long non-coding RNA. RefSeq lists it as uncharacterized. Lineage: Eukaryota; Metazoa; Chordata; Mammalia; Didelphimorphia; Didelphidae. The record is from RefSeq and is a predicted model, not a curated record.